Molecule: long non-coding RNA, 339 nt
Filed under: Carica papaya (papaya)
Lineage: Eukaryota; Viridiplantae; Streptophyta; Magnoliopsida; Brassicales; Caricaceae
Description: long non-coding RNA (CPAP_LNC016081)
Source: RNAcentral
UUUUACCCGCAGUUUCUGGCUCAUCUGCUGUUCCUUUUGCUCCGAUUUAACCAUAAGAGUGUAAGAAAUCAAAUUCCAAGCGGAUAGGAGAGUUUUAAACUUUUUUUGCAGUUAGAGUUCGCUUCGGCACGACGGCGGUCGGCUCCCUUCUCCAGCGACUGGUUCUUCUUCUCCGGUCGGAGGCUAGCAGCUAAGGUUUGAGUUCGGUGUGAUACGAGAUAUUUAUACUGUCUCCCUUAAAUCUGAAACGUUCAUCACAUUUGAUCUCGACCGUUCGAUCGAGUUUAAAGAAAAAAUAAAUAUGAACCGUUCAUCGCGAUUUGAUCUUGACUAUACGAU